GUACUGCUGAAGAGUCCCACACUAGGACGAAACAGCUAUCCAGUAC
RNAcentral lists this non-coding RNA (46 nucleotides) under Trichobilharzia regenti. Lineage: Eukaryota; Metazoa; Platyhelminthes; Trematoda; Strigeidida; Schistosomatidae. The record is from RNAcentral.